GUCUUCUUAGAGAAGGUUGGGAAUUUCAAUUUUCUAGGAUUUUUUAUACUUAAUUUUAGGCUUAAUGUUAUAGGUAGUUUCUGAAUCUUAUCUCGAACUGGCAUCUUCUUUAUGAAUUGAAGAGAUUCUGGUGGCUUUUAUGUGGGGUACCCUAGAGAUGCCUCUUGCUAUUUUCAGAAUUUGCAGAAGUAUUUUUUCUUUCUUUUCUUAUUACUUUCACAAGGAAGAAGUAUGGAAGUGCUUUGGUCAAUUAUAGAGUUGCUUUUACAAAGUCUCCUCAAGAAUUUAUCUACAAAAUGAGGAGAAUGGUCUAAAUGUUCACCCGGGGUUGAGCAUUUCACAUAUGCUUCUUUCUUCCCACCUAUUUUUUUAUUAUAUCUUUAGUCCUUCUAUUCUCUAUUUCACAUAGCCUUCGACCAACCAAUCAAUGUCCGUCAUGUGGCCAACUCCAGGGGCGUGUGGAGAGUCCUUUCAAUUUCAAACUCUCCCCUUUGCUGGCAACACCUUGGCCGCAAUCACGAACAAUUUUCAUAGCCGCAUGAUGAACGAGUGUGAUACGCAGGCAUGUAUGACCUUCAAGACAUGCAAUCGAUUACCAAAAAUGUCCAAUCCCCACGUCCGAAUUCCUUGGUGACGGAUGCCGACCUUUGCCUACAUAAACCACUCUCGGGGACCCUCCAAGUAAGUGCUCUCAAUUCUUCUUAUGCCCUUUUGCUGCCACUCUGUCGCUCUUGCAAUUUCACUGUUUCUUGAGAGUCCAUCUGACUUGAGCGAUGUAGGGUCCCCUGCUGGAUACUUUCUGGCAAGAGAACUCUCUUGUCUUUGUUAUUUCAAGUCGGAUCUGGGAUUUGAGUGAAGGUUCAAGCAUGGUCUCUUCCUCCCAACAUUGGAGGCAUCACCAUCCGAGCAUAGUGGCCACCACAUCAGCACCUUAGAGACAUAUCACGAUCUUCAGCUGACUUUUGCAAUCUAAACAACUGA
This 981-nucleotide long non-coding RNA is filed under the name Phoenix dactylifera (date palm). RNAcentral's name for it is "long non-coding RNA (PDAC_LNC016623)". The record is from RNAcentral. Lineage: Eukaryota; Viridiplantae; Streptophyta; Magnoliopsida; Arecales; Arecaceae.